UUUUAACACCCUCAUAAUAAAAAAUUUCUUCUUUAUAUCUAGUCUGGAUCUACCCUUUUUAGUUUAAAACCCUUAACUGCUUGUCCUAUCUCCAUGGUGCUCAAAUUGCAGUGCCAGCUGAAGUAGGUUUUUCUUUGCAGCCCAGUGGUCUCAGCUCAGUUUAGGCAUUUGAAAACAAACAAUCCCAAAUCAUAAAAACCUGGGCUAGAGCCUUGGCUUAGAAAGGCUAGGUGUGUUUUCUGACUUGUAUGUUGAGACCCAGUUGUAAAGAUUGUCAACUUUGAUGUGUUUUGUCUAGCUACUUAUAAGCCUUGAUGAAGGAAAGCAGCGGGACCAUGAAAGCUGGGUUGCAUGUACAGUUUUCUAAAGGGCUCUUCUCUAGUGGUGACUUGAUGUGCAAAUCUAAGGCAAUUAGGAUUUCUUCCCUUCUGGCUCUUUGAGCUGGAGGUCACCAGCAGCAAACAUCCACUUGGUUGUUUGUACCUCCACACUGUUAUUUCUCUCUGGGUUAAAGUCAUCCUCUUGGAAUGGCUUCCCUUGUUUUGCUUUUGAAGCCACAAAUCGUGGCCCAUCUACUGCAUUUCAUGGUGUAGUGUUGAAGUAGUUAAUAGUAUGUUAAGGGAGAAAAUGCAACACCUUUGGAAUCUUGUUUACAGAAUUCACAAUAUAGCAAUACGUAGGGUCCUACUCUAGGUUAUCUAGAAGACAUCUGCCAAGAACAGCAUUCUGCUGCUGUGAAGCAUAUCUGAUGCAUAUUGGAAUUCAGCCUGUUUAUGGCCUAAAACAGGAACAUCCUGGAAUUAAAUUUAGAUUAGAUUAAUUCUAAAUGCCACCUCCCUUUUGUUUAAUUACCUGUACUAGAAGGACGUUGCUCUAGACAGAUGAGAAGAAAGGAAAUAAUGGAAUAUUAAAAUAUUUAAAGGAAUAGUAGAAAAUAACUUUGCAAUUACAAAUACGAGUUUCCAACAUGCCAUGUAGUGUCCAGAGGAUUAAAGAGCAUAUGCAUAACUCUUUAGCAGGACCUUUAAAGCAGCUCUUGCACAUAGUUGGAAAAUGCUUAGGAAGGUCUGGAAAUGGAGGUAUCAUGGAGCUGGUUUCUCUGGAUUUGUCUAGUGUCUGCUUAUUUUUGGCAUCAAAAAAGGAAACCUGAGACCUUCUGUGCUGAAACAUUUCCGAGGGCUUUUUCCACUGUGGGUUCUCUGGUAUGCAGUAAAGGCAAGUGUCCUUAGUUCAGCUGGGUGAGAGUUAAUUUUCCGUUAAGUAACUGGUACAGUGCCAUGUUUUGGAUUUAGUAUGACAAAAACAUAGACAAUUCUCUGAUAUUUUAGUUGUUGCAAGCCGGCGGCUGCUUGGUACUCAGUUGCCAGCUGGGGUUAAGCUGUGACAGCAAAUUCAGAUUGCGACAUUUCCCCGACCAGGGCAACUGCAGCUGCCUCCUUUCCAUGGCCUCUGAGUCUCAUGAAACUUAAUUUCCUUUGUUGUGCUUGGCUGAAGUUGGCCCGUGGGUUCAAAAGCAAAUGCUUUCAUCUUGCACGAAGUACGGGCUCGUAAGAUUGUGUUUUUCUAGAGAAACCAGGCUGAAGAACAGCAGAGCCUAGAGCUGUAUUGAUUCCUGUCUGCUGGAAGGACUAGGUAGUUCAGGGUUAGGGAUUGCUUCGACUUUUUGGGGUUGCUGGAUAGCUGGAUAUAGUGGGGAAGGCUGGUCUUUGCUCUACAGUGUUUGGGGUCAAUGUCCUUGUAGUUUCACGUCCUUGGAUCUUGUCUUUCUGUGCUGCUGCUGGGCUGGGUGAUGUGUUCGGAGCAGCCCUGCCUUGGCUGAGAAAUGCCAGCAGGUUGUGCUGCGGGGCUCCACAAGAGCUUGUCUGUUCAGCCUCCCUCUGGCAGGGAAACCCCAAAGGAUCUGGGAAAAAGGUCUCUGCCUGAUCCGGGGCUUCCUGGUUAGCCCUGGGUGAUGUUCAGCUUGUGCUUUGGCUGGAGUUAUGUUUGUAUUACAAUGUUUGAAGGAGAGGUUCUGCAAGCACGCAGAACUUGCCCAGCAUCCUCCUGGUCCAAAUUAAGAGGGCUAAAUCUGUUUUAGACUGGAUUAUACCAUCUGUUUGAAAAAGCAAACAAAUAACUUGUCUUCAUGAAAAGUGGCUAAAUUAUUUUAACUCUUUCAAGCUGGGAGAGGUGAAACCAAUUACACUGUUUUUGAGGGUCAUGGACUUUUGCAACUUGUUCCUGUUCUUUACUGCAGAUCAUAUAGCCAAAGCUUGUGAGUAUCAAUACUGUUACAUCUUUCACAUAACUCUUGUAACAUUGAGAAAAGGAAAAGAAAGGAGGAGGUGUUUAUUCAUCUGGAAAAAGCUCACAUUUAGAAGUGACUGUCAUGGCUAGUUAAAACAAAAACAACCAAUCAAGAUUUAACCACGUUCUAAAGUUUAAAUUAAUCUCUACUCUCAAAUUUUGAGAUUACAGUCACUGCUGCAGAUUACAAAGCAGGAAUUUUCAAAAGUACCUAUGUUGUGAUUUCUCACAAGUGCUGCACCCACUAUAGGCAUUUUCCUGAGCAACUUUACUCAUUCUUGAUCACUGCAGUUAAGGUGAACUCAGCAGACGACUAAUGACCAUCGUGGGCUGUACCAGGGGGCAGAAGUUCCCCUGCUCUUGCAAAACUGAAACCUUUUACUGCAGUAGAGGAGUGGGGAUGUGCACAGUGGCUGCCAGCUUGUCCUGCAGCCUUGUGGCUUCAGGCAGCAACAAGACUGUCAUUAGUUCAGUGUGGUACCUUGUGUGAUCAGGUGGUGCCAGGGAGCAGAUGAGCCUGUAAAGAAAAGAGAGUUUGCUCUGGGAGGAAGCUUUGCUGAUAGUGGUGCACAGGGCAGUACUGUUAGGGAGCAGCUGAAAUCCUUGUUGAUGACUUUUAUCAGAACUAGGGGAAGCUUGUUAUGUAGGGAGGUGCUGAUAUGCUUGUUCAAGGGACAGGGAGUAAAUGGAAACAACUUUUGAUGAACUGUUUAUUUCUGACCAGCUCAGCUAUGGGCACUUGCUGCUGGUAGAAGACAACUCUAGGCUGAUUCUUCCUGCAUACAUCCUGGUGAGUAUUCCCAGCAGUGAGAGAGCAGCAGCAGUGCUGUGUGUGCUACAGCCAGUGCCUACAAGUUCCAGGCAAAAAGCUGUCUGAUCUGCAGGAAAAAAGCCAGCUGUCCUAUCUCAUUCUCCUGAUUGCUGGGUCAAAGUGUACUGCAGAGAUGUUGUAAGAGCUCAAGGCAAGUUGUUUUCAGCUUUUUAUUCCCCAAUUUAUUGAUCUUUACAUAUACCUACAUGUCUUCAGUAUUUAGAUUGAAGUACUAUUGGGCUAAAGAUCUUCAGAACACCAUGAUCUUCCCUGCUAAAGGCACCCUGGAGUGGGUCAAUUUUUAAUGGAGCUUUCCUGAGCUGGGGUUUAAGUCUCCAGCAUCUCACAGAGGGUCAGACAGAACUGGUCCAAAACUGCCUUGGGAAUUUUGGUGGAAAGUUUUAUACUUUUUAUCCUACUUCAAUCUGCAAGGAGGAGUAGAGAGACUCUUCUGCAGGAAAGAGCAAUCUCCUACAUCAGAAGUUUGUGAAACACAGUGAACAUCCCAUUUGGAAGGGAAUAGUGAGCCUCAUGAGCACAGCCUCCAUGCCUCUCCUGAAUUACAGUCCUGGGGCCUGUUUAUAGCCAAACAUAAAACUUUUUCAAAAGAUGAUCUCACCUGUUGAAAAUCACAUCCAUGUGAAUCAAAGCAGGAAGGGGAGCGGUGGCUGAAAGGGAUGGAGGGCUCCACAUGGGCAGCAGAUGCACAUGGCUUGCAGUAGGACAACCCAUGUGGUUUUUUUCCAGCUGUGAGCCUUGGUUCUGCCAUCAGUGUGUGUGAGCCUUGGUAGAGUGUACUUUUUGUUGAAUGUUUGCAGUUUUGUUUGACAGCGGGAAAUGCUGGAAAAUGUUAGUGAGAGCUGUCAAACCCUGUAAUGAUCUCCCAAGGGAAGGAGUAGCAUCCCUACAGGAGUUCAAAUCCUUACAGACUUAAUGUGGCAUAGGAAAAAUCCUGGCAAUGAAAGGAUGACCUGAGAACUCUUCUGUGAAGAAGUAAUGAAUGAUGUGAGCUGGAGAGAUCUGUGUGCCUGCUAAAGGUAAAGGAAGAUCAGGCAUUUCUGUUAAGAACAGUCCUUCUAUAAUUGGACUUGGCUAUUAUUCUUCAUACUUCUGGGUUUACAUGAUUGCUGGCCAGAUAAAAGCAAAAUAUUCCUUUGAAUGCAUUUGUACAGAACUGUCUGCAGAGGGAAUUAAAAACCAGAACAGAAACACUCUUUGAGGUAUGUGAUAUUUGUACUCAAGUCAAUUGUCUGCCCAAUGAGUUGCUGGCUGAAAACACUGGGCUGAGAAGAUCCAUGUGGCAGAGUCACAGAGCCAUUUCUGGCCACAGGACUGGGUAAAGGUUUGCUACAUUACCAUGUCCUUUACUUAACUUAGGUUUAAAGCUAUUCUGAUGCCUGUCACUAAGGGAGAGCGCUGCAGCAGUGAGGUGAGGUUGCCUCAUGUCCCUACCAUGGUGUGUGGAUGCCCACUGUGGCUGCUCCUUCCCACCCUCAACGUGUGUGUUCAUGUGGGCAUGUCUUGGUCUAGGAAUUGUCCCACAACAACUUUGAAAUAUAUAGUCUUCACCUAUUGCCACCACAGAUGUCAUGGCUCUUUUUGAAGGAAAAGGCAAGGUCUCUCCUGUUAAAAAAAAAAAAAAAAAAAAAA
RNAcentral lists this long non-coding RNA (4747 nucleotides) under Taeniopygia guttata (zebra finch). RNAcentral's name for it is "lncRNA (ENSTGUG00000024882.1)". Lineage: Eukaryota; Metazoa; Chordata; Aves; Passeriformes; Estrildidae. The record is from RNAcentral.